GUUAAGUUGCAGGGUAUAGACCCGAAACCCGGUGAUCUAGCCAUGGGCAGGUUGAAGGUUGGGUAACACUAACUGGAGGACCGAACCGACUAAUGUUGAAAAAUUAGCGGAUGACCUGUGGCUGGGGGUGAAAGGCCAAUCAAACCGGGAGAUAGCUGGUUCUCCCCGAAAGCUAUUUAGGUAGCGCCUCGUGAAUUCAUCUCCGGGGGUAGAGCACUGUUUCGGCUAGGGGGCCAUCCCGGCUUACCAACCCGAUGCAAACUGCGAAUACCGGAGAAUGUUAUCACGGGAGACACACGGCGGGUGCUAACGUCCGUCGUGAAGAGGGAAACAACCCAGACCGCCAGCUAAGGUCCCAAAGUCAUGGUUAAGUGGGAAACGAUGUGGGAAGGCCCAGACAGCCAGGAUGUUGGCUUAGAAGCAGCCAUCAUUUAAAGAAAGCGUAAUAGCUCACUGGUCGAGUCGGCCUGCGCGGAAGAUGUAACGGGGCUAAACCAUGCACCGAAGCUGCGGCAGCGACACUGUGUGUUGUUGGGUAGGGGAGCGUUCUGUAAGCCUGUGAAGGUGUGUCGUGAGGCAUGCUGGAGGUAUCAGAAGUG
Molecule: ribosomal RNA, 599 nt
Filed under: Salmonella enterica
Lineage: Bacteria; Pseudomonadati; Pseudomonadota; Gammaproteobacteria; Enterobacterales; Enterobacteriaceae
Description: partial 23S ribosomal RNA
Rfam family: Bacterial large subunit ribosomal RNA
Source: RNAcentral